RNAcentral lists this small RNA (554 nucleotides) under Pongo abelii (Sumatran orangutan). RNAcentral describes it as "retained intron". The record is from RNAcentral. Lineage: Eukaryota; Metazoa; Chordata; Mammalia; Primates; Hominidae.
GCACACUGGAGUGGUGUACUAGCGGAUCAAGUAUGGACACUGACUCAGACUGAGGAGCAGCUCCACUGCACUGUGUACCGAGGAGGCAAGAGCCAGACUAGCAGGCCCACACCAGACGAGCUGGAGGCCGUGCGCAGGUAUCUCCAGCUAGAUGUCACCCUGGCUCAACUGUAUCACCACUGGGGUUCCGUGGACUCCCACUUCCAAGAGGUGGCUCAGAAAUUCCAAGGUGUGCGACUGCUGCGACAAGACCCCAUCGAAUGCCUUUUCUCUUUUAUCUGUUCCUCCAACAACAACAUCGCCCGCAUCACUGGCAUGGUGGAGCGGCUGUGCCAGGCUUUUGGACCUCGGCUCAUCCAGCUUGAUGAUGUCACCUACCAUGGCUUCCCCAGCCUGCAGGCCCUGGCUGGUGAGUAGGUGGGUCCACUGCCCCCAGGCCUUCCAUCAGCUUUCAAGAUCUGUUCAUUUCUCCCCUGGUUACCUUCUCAAGGCUUCUUGCCUUCCCAAACACUUCCCCCAUCCAGAACCGCCCUGCCUGGUCUGAUCAACUUCAG